Haplochromis burtoni (Burton's mouthbrooder) is the source of this 1425-nucleotide long non-coding RNA. RefSeq lists it as uncharacterized. The record is from RefSeq and is a predicted model, not a curated record. The transcript has 2 exons. NCBI's taxonomy places the organism in Eukaryota, Metazoa, Chordata, Actinopteri, Cichliformes, Cichlidae.
UUCCUUUUUUCCUCUCAGUGUGUGAAAAGAUAAACAGAACUUCAGUAAAACCUGACACCAACACAUUCACACAUUCUCCUUUGAGGCCGAUUGCUGACAGGACACACUGCAGUCUGUUCAGAGCAAAACACACACGUUUGGUUUUGAAGUUUGAAAGCUGCUGACUGGAUCAACAGUGAGGAGACAUGGAAACUGUAGUUGGACUGUUGUUGAUGAUGUUUGGAGUGUCUCAUGGUGUGGAAAGUUACUGUGACGGCAGACCAGAUGGAGCUCAUUGUUAUGGAACUUUGGGAGGAACUUUGGACAUCAAACUGACGGACAACACCUCAGAAAUAUUCAAAUUCCUACUGUCCAAGAAUACAUCAGUAAUAAAAUACAGGAGAAGCAACAGUCUUAAAUAUAGUACGACAGAUGAAAGAUUUCUGUUUUAUCCCAGUAAUGGAACACUUAGGAUACAUAACCUGAGCAGUACAGACAGCGGAAAAUAUAACUUUUUGACCUUUAAUUCAGAUGGAAAAAUAUCAGCUGAGCGGACUUUACAGAUUUUUAUUCAAGGUAAUUUUUCCCUGCAUUACUAGAUGUUAACAUUGUUCUGGUAAUCCAUAUAUAUGCAUAUAUACAGUGUGUAAAAAGAAGUAUUGAACACAUCACCAAAUUUCUAAGUAAAUGUAAUUUUAAAGGUGUUAUUGACAUGAAAUUCUCACCAGAUGUCAGUAACAACCUAUCCAACCAAACACAUGAAAAGAAAAAUAGAUAAAUCGCCCUCAUCACCCUAAAGUGAAUUCAAGCGCUACAAAUUAUUUCACAAGUUCUAAGUUCAAAAGCCUCUUAUUAACAAACUCUGACAGAAAGAAAGUUCUGUGAAUCUGAGUGUCUUCUCUGUUUCCUGUACAGAAUCUCCUCUGCAACACACACUCUCACAGGGCUCUGCUGAACCGUUAUAUAGACAGCAUGAGGCACAUUAGAAAUAUCUGUGAAUAUAACAGGGAAAAGGACUUGCAGAUCAGCGAGGAGCUCACUAUCACAGUUAAACAACACUUAGGAAAAGAUUAGAGGUCAGAUCCCAGCUGAAAUAGGGUCAGGUCAUUGCCAGAUGCUUCACACACAUGCUUGACUGUUUCAGGUGCAUCCAGGAGGGGAUGGGGAUCCUGGCAGAUCCCUCCCCUGUAAGGUAAGGUGGGAUGAGAGAAUACACACACAGCCACCAGCACACAAAAAGGAUACAGAGGAGGACUGUGACAUUUGUCUUGUAAAAUAUGGUGCAAGAGUGAAAACUCUCAAGUGUGUUUUAUUUCACAGCUCUAACUUUUCAGAAAUAUGUGUGUGUCUCUACACAGGUACUUCCUGGUUCAUACAUGGUUUGAAAGCAGUGGUAAUUGCGGUGGUAAUUAUAUCAUUAAGUGGGAUUUGGAUCUACUUCACUUG